UACGUAGGGUGCAAGCGUUGUCCGGAAUUAUUGGGCGUAAAGAGCUCGUAGGCGGUCUGUCGCGUCGGGUGUGAAAAUCCAGGGCUUAACCCUGGACCUGCAUUCGAUACGGGCAGACUAGAGUUCGGUAGGGGAGACUGGAAUUCCUGGUGUAGCGGUGAAAUGCGCAGAUAUCAGGAGGAACACCGGUGGCGAAGGCGGGUCUCUGGGCCGAUACUGACGCUGAGGAGCGAAAGCAUGGGGAGCGAACAGG
RNAcentral lists this ribosomal RNA (253 nucleotides) under uncultured bacterium. RNAcentral describes it as "partial 16S ribosomal RNA". It matches the Rfam family "Bacterial small subunit ribosomal RNA", at positions 524 to 776 of the family's 1533-position model. The record is from RNAcentral.